Molecule: ribosomal RNA, 253 nt
Filed under: uncultured bacterium
Lineage: Bacteria
Description: partial 16S ribosomal RNA
Rfam family: Bacterial small subunit ribosomal RNA
Source: RNAcentral
UACGGAGGGGGCUAGCGUUGUUCGGAAUUACUGGGCGUAAAGAGCUCGUAAGUGGUUUGUCGCGUUGUCCGUGAAAACUCACAACUCAAUUGUGGGCGUGCGGGCGAUACGGGCAGACUGGAGUACUGCAGGGGAGACUGGAAUUCCUGGUGUAGCGGUGGAAUGCGCAGAUAUCAGGAGGAACACCGGUGGCGAAGGCGGGUCUCUGGGCCGAUACUGACGCUGAGGAGCGAAAGCGUGGGGAGCGAACAGG